RNAcentral lists this ribosomal RNA (499 nucleotides) under Acidovorax sp. ET-N5. RNAcentral describes it as "bacterial SSU rRNA". It matches the Rfam family "Bacterial small subunit ribosomal RNA", at positions 962 to 1461 of the family's 1533-position model. Lineage: Bacteria; Pseudomonadati; Pseudomonadota; Betaproteobacteria; Burkholderiales; Comamonadaceae. The record is from RNAcentral.
CGAAAAACCUUACCCACCUUUGACAUGUACGGAAUCCUUUACAGAUAGAGGAGUGCUCGAAAGAGAGUCGUAACACAGGUGCUGCAUGGCUGUCGUCAGCUCGUGUCGUGAGAUGUUGGGUUAAGUCCCGCAACGAGCGCAACCCUUGUCAUUAGUUGCUACAUUCAGUUGGGCACUCUAAUGAGACUGCCGGUGACAAACCGGAGGAAGGUGGGGAUGACGUCAAGUCCUCAUGGCCCUUAUAGGUGGGGCUACACACGUCAUACAAUGGCUGGUACAGAGGGUUGCCAACCCGCGAGGGGGAGCCAAUCCCAUAAAGCCAGUCGUAGUCCGGAUCGCAGUCUGCAACUCGACUGCGUGAAGUCGGAAUCGCUAGUAAUCGCGGAUCAGAAUGUCGCGGUGAAUACGUUCCCGGGUCUUGUACACACCGCCCGUCACACCAUGGGAGCGGGUUCUGCCAGAAGUAGUUAGCCUAACCGCAAGGAGGGCGAUUACCACG